This is a long non-coding RNA of Solanum dulcamara, 12077 nucleotides long. RefSeq lists it as uncharacterized. The transcript is spliced from 3 exons. The record is from RefSeq and is a predicted model, not a curated record. NCBI's taxonomy places the organism in Eukaryota, Viridiplantae, Streptophyta, Magnoliopsida, Solanales, Solanaceae.
GUAGGUUGUAUUGUCUUGAUAAAUUAAUGCCAAAUGACAAAAGAUAAAAAGGUGGUCAAAAGUAAUGAAAAGUAGAGCAUGCCAUGAAUGAGACUAAAAUAAUAGAUUAAAAUAAUCUUAAAGUUAUAAAGCUGUGAUGUAAAAUAUUAAAGGGAUCCUUUUUUUAAAAGAGAAUAGCACUCCUACGCCUUUUCUUUCGUCUUACCCAUCCCUUGCACGCUCCUCACCUCCCAAAACCCAAAUUUGAAUGACUAUUCCCUAAUUUUCAGAAAAAAUCAUAAAUCCAUGACUUUUUCUUCUUCUCCAUCUCUUUUUCCUUGAAAAUUCGGCACCUCAUCACGGCCGCCUACCAUUAUCGGCAGAAUUUCUGCUCAAGCAAUUGGUCAAAAACAAGGAAAAAGUUUUGGAUUCCUAGACGGAAUCUUUGGACGUCAAAGCCUUAGUUUGCUGCUCAACACAAGGUGGCGACUCUAAAUGAUUUUCAAAAUCAGAGGUAUAACUACUUUAUGUUGCGAACUAUUUCGACUAGUUCAAAAAUGGGGUGCGAGAGCUUGGAGACUCUGCUGGGAAAACCCUUUGUACUUAGCAUUUAGGUUUUAACCUUAGCAAAAAUUAGUUUUAGAAUUAAGGGAUAUUUGUUUAUUAUCUAUCAAUUAUUUGCUUUAAUUGUUUCAUUGUAAUUUAUUUAUUAUAUCACUCUUCAUUUGAAAGGAUGUAAGCUAAAUCCAAACUUGUGUUUCUUAUUUAUUUUGAAAACACUACAUGUUAUUGCUUUUCUUAAACUUUCAUUUGCACUUUCUAUCGAGUCCUUGGCCGUACACAAACACACACUGGACACACGAGGGGUGUCAGACACUCCUCUAAAUUUUCUUGGAUUCCUUAGUUUCAGAGUUGGUGCAAUUAGUUUAGUGCACCUUCUCGCAAUCAUUCAGUCCCACUUUCAAUCAUCUAGGAAAAAAUCCUACUCCAGAAAUAGAACAUUUUGCAUGCACCUUAGGAGGGACAAUAUGAGGUAUUGUCACCGCAUUUAUGAAUCCACCCUCAUGUCAACGGGUUUCUCUUUAAAACACAACGACAUAUAUGUGUGAAAAUAAUUGAUUGAUCCAAGUAUUAAAGUUGUAACAGAUUCUGGACAUUAGGACUGACUACCUUCUUAUCCAUAUGGAAAUCAACCAAAACAUCCCUAACAUUCAAAUGAUGACUGAGGUUCCCAAGAUUUUGAAAGAUUGGUGGAGAAACAUCCGGGUGGCACAUGAAAAUGAAAUUCCACCGCACUUGGGAUCACUAAUGAAUUUGGUGAAUAUAAUGGCAAACAAGUUGCUCAUUACGCUAAUGAUUGAAUUUUGGCAACCAACAACAACAACCUUCCAAUACACGGAUUUUGAAAUCACGCCCACGCUUAAGGAAAUAAGUCAAAUUGCUGAUGCCACUGGUUGGCAGAGCACCUUUAGCCCCACGCACCAUAUUAGGAAUUGGUUUUCACAACUCUUUGGGGUUGAUAGUGGGUCCAAGUUUGUGAAAAGUUGAUAAAGGAUGGGUCAGGCUAGGUUAUCUCUUUAAAAGAUUCGGCCGUCGGAAGAGCUACGAUAAAUUCCACCAAGAAUUCUUCAUUUCAAGAGCUAAUUGGGAAAGGCUCAGGGCUAUUGUAUUCAUGGUAGCAUUUUCUAGGAAUCAUGAUCUUCCAAAAUAGGAGCUUGCGUCAACAUCAACCUCUUGCCUAUGGUCAUUUACAUGUUUAGAGGCCUGCCAGAGUAACCAUUGUAUCUAUGAUUUUGCCAAAAAUACUUUGAUCAUUGUCCCUCUUCUCUAGAGGACACGACCACUUCAAGAGAUGUAACCUAUUGCUACAAAUUUGUAUAUUCAAUAACUUCUAUUAAAGGCAAAAAGACAAUGAUGCUUAAGGAAAUCUGCACAACAAGAUUAGGAGUCAUGCGGAAAGGUUGAGCAUAUGGGGUUCCCCAAACAAUGAAGAAGGGUGGCGCUUUUUCCUGACCCACCUCACAGGGGAUCGUAUUCAGUGGAGAUUACCAUUAGUCCGUGGCCGAGUUUGUUGAGAACCAACCACAACUACUUCAUAGGGCUAAUUGGGUUGGAAGGCUUCCAGCCUUACGUACCUUUGAGAGUCCUCAGACAGUUUGGGAUAACCCAAGGCAUUUCUCUGUGGUUAAACAUAGCGCUAAUGGAGGUCGAUUAUGAGGGAAGAGUCCCAAUUGAAAGGAUCACUACAUUGAUACGAGAGUAGCAUGAUAUAUUUUACCUAGGCAUGGGGGUUGAGUUAUGCUGCACCCUUGAGUAUUAUGCUUGGUUUACAAUAGGAGGAAUUCUCGCAAGGCCUAGCUAUGCCGGAAUCUUAGACUUCACGGAUGAGCGAAGAUCAGAUAAGAUUAGAACGGCGUUAUUAAACCCCACGCCUAUCACCACAACUAUGUACAGGCAAACGAUGAUGAACCAGAGGAGGAUAUGAAAGAAGAUUCAAAAGAGGAUCCUAGGGAGCUGACUAAGGAAGAUCCGAAAGAGGAUCCCGAAGAAGAUGCUCACUCUGAGUAUGGUCCAUAGGGUUUGAUGAAGGAUAAGGUUCAAACCACCAGGGACUAUAGAGUGACGGAUCCCCAGAGUACCAGCCAGGAUCUUACUAUGAUUUGGGAAAUAAGGAUGAUGAUUACCCAACUUGGCCGUAGACUAUCUUUAUUUUCCUUUGUAUUUCCCCUAGAAAAGGUCUUGCAUGGCUUGUAUUGAUGUUCCAAUAUGCUGUUAGGGUGGUCGAUUAAGGAUUUACACUAAAUAUAUUAAAAUAUUAGCUCUAUCUUGAAUCUGGAAUGUGUUAAAAUUUUGGAUCGAUUAAUCAUUAAUAUUUGCAGUGUAAGCCUACCUCUGGGAAAAAGAGGCUCUGUAUUAGGACGCAUUUAAAUGUCACCAACUUGGCGUUAAUAUGUGUUAUAUAUUUGUUGUACCUUUCAAUAUCUCCCAAAAUAACAUAGUUUCCCUUUUUAUUUCUUUUCUUUUAUUAAUUUCCCAAGAACAUUGAUUUGUGUCAACUUGCAAAUUGGUUGACUCACGGUACAACCUUUGAUCAAAGGGAAAGAUGAUAGGUGGAUAAGAAUUUAAUGAUGCUGCAAACAUAAUGAUACUAGUAGAGAAUCUUAAAGGCUCUCAAAAUAUGGCCGACACUCGAAAUGAUGAGAAAAGGGAUCACAUGCCACAAGAACUUGAGAUCAUGAGGGAGGAAUUGCGUCAAGUGCAAGACUUGGCCAAACUUUUGGCUACUACCUUCCCAACUUUCAAGAUGCCCACCUACUUUCCAAGAGCUAACUUGCCUUCUGCUAAUUCACCAAAUUUGCCUAAACAUGCUCCUGCUCAUGGUCAAGCCCCACUAGCUCAUCCAUCUACAAUCAGGACUGUUCUUGACCUUCCUACUCAAGACCCCACCACACCUACAUACCUAGCAAUACGACAGAUAUUUGGGGAAUAUAUUGCCGCUCCUCACGGUCUACAAAUGCCUCCUAUAUAUGCCUAUUGGGUCAAGGUCUCGUAUGAGGUUGACCAAUAUGCAAAGAUGGAGAAGGAUGCCCGAUUGAAGGAAGAUGAGUAGAUAGACGCCCAACUUUGCGGUCUAAGAAAGACGUUUCAAAAAUAGCAAGUCACUAGGGGAUCAAAGAGCCUAGUUUAGGAUGACUUAUGCAUCUACCCAGACAUUGAAAUGCCAGUAGGAUACAAGCCACUAAAGUUUGACAUAUUCGAUGGAAAGGGCAGCCCUUACACACAUCUGAGGGCAUACUGUGACAAGUUAGUUGGUGUAGGGAGAAAUGAGAAGCUAAGAAUGAAGUUGUUCAUUCGAAGUCUGUCUGGAGAAACGUUGACUUGGUAUACACACCAAGAUCCUCAUAAAUGGCAUAACUGGCAGGAAAUGGCUGAGGAUUUCAUGAAUUGCUUUAGAUUUAAUACCAAAAUCACUACGAACAGGUUCUCAUUAGCCAACAUACAAAAGAAACCAUCUGAGGACUUCCAGGAGUAUGUACGACAUUGGAGAAUUGAGGCUGCCAGGGUUCAACCACCACUGGAUGAGACUGAGCUCUCAAAGAACUUUAUUCGAGCUCAAGAAGGUAUCUACUUUGACAAGAUGAAGUCGAUGAUGGGCCAAAAGUUUGUGGAAUUGGUCAAGAUAGGGGAUUUUAUAGAUGAGGGCAUCAAAUCCGGUAAAAUUCAGUCCAUGGCUAUACUGCAAGCUGCAAGUGAUGCCAUUCAAUUAGGCUCCAUUGGUAGCAUCAAGAAGAAAAAGGAAGAUGUUUCACCCAUCACUUACCAGCAUGGAGGACCAUCUCACCGAUACCCCAAUAAUCCCCAAAUUAUUGCACAUACUCCAUACACCUUGUACCCAGUAUAUAAUACCCAACUACACUACAAUCCACCCUGAGCACCAGCAUACCAAAAUCUACCAAGACCACAUGUCUUAGUCCAAGAACCAAUCCACAAAAUAGACCAGCAUUUGCUUCGAGACCACAUCCAAAUCUCAAAGACAAAAAUACUCGCACCUAUACAUCCAUUACCAAACCUUAUGCCUAAUUAUUUGAAAGGCUGAGGAUAUUAGGAGUGCUACAUCCAGUUGAAGAAAAACUCUCUGAUCUAAUCCCUCACAACUUUGAUGGAAACAAGCGAUACGCUUACCAAUCAAGAAUCCAAGAAUAUAACAUAGAAAAUAGUUAUGGCUUGAAGAACCAGGUAGAGUCUCUGAUCAGAAGAGGAAUAAUAAAAUACACUCCAACACCUUCGAAUAUAAACAACAACCCUUUGCUAAAUCAUGAGAAUCGAUAAGUCAACAUGAUUACCCUAGAAGAAGAGUACAACUUGGGAGAAACCAUCAUGCCUCUCUGGAAUAUCGAAGAAGUUGCCACUGCGUCUCUAACACAACCUGUUAUCACUGUCCAACUGAGGGAACCUCUUACUGUGCAAACAUAUCUCCCAAGAGUUGUAGUGACCACUAUGAUUGCUAGAAAGCCUGAGUUUGACACCAAAAAAUCCUAUGGGACUAUAAAACAGAAGCCAAGGGCAAGAUGAUUGACGCUGUUGUGGCUCAUGGAAUGACUAAGUCGGGAAGGUGCUAUGCUCUAGAGGAUCAGAAUCAAGGAGUUCUUGGGAAGGAACAUAAUCAUAAGAGAAAUGUUACUGAUACUGAAGUCACUGAAUUUUGGAAGAAAAUGCAGCCGAAAGAAUAUUCAGUCAAAGAGCAACGGAAGAAGAUGCUGGCCCACAUAUCUAUAAUGUCUUUACUAAUGAGUUUAGAGGCACAUAGGAAUGCUUUGAUGGAAGUGUUAAAUGGAGUUUUCAUUCCAAAAGAGACCACAAGUGAAACCUUAACUACAAUGAUUGGACUAAUGGUGAAAGCUAACAAAAUCUCUUUCCAUGAUGAUGAGCUACCGAUGGAAGGGAUUGGACACAACAAAGCACUUCAUAUCACGGUCAAAUGUAAUGACAAGAUUGUGACCCAAGUUCAAAUUAAUGAUGGUUUUGGAAGCAACAUCUACCUUUUUAUAAAUCUGAGAGUUUUAGGCUUGAAUAUGGGAGAUGUAGAGGAAAGUCAUGUAAAAGUUAAAGCUUUUGAUGGAGCGCAGAGAAGCAUCAUUGGAGAAAUCUAUUUCACAUUGCAAGUGGGGCCAGCAGAAUUCCCCAUCCUAUUUCAAGUGAUGGAUGUGUCAUCCAACUACAACCUGUUACUGGGAAGACCAUGGGUCCACACCGUAAAAAUAGUUUCUUCGACUCUUUAUCAGUGUGUAAAGUUUGAGUGAAGUCACACAGAAGUUAACAUUCAUUGGGAGCACACUCACCCCAUCUAUUCUAUCAAUUCUAUUCUAGUCACUAAGGAGGUAGAUGGAGCCACUUUUCACACUUUAGAAAUCAUGAAAGUUGUAAGAGAUGACAUAAAAGUAGAGUCGAUUGAUGUGAAAUUGUCAGUAGCAGCAAAGAUGGUCACGACCGAGAUGUUGAAAUAUGGGUAUCAGCCUAAGACAAGGCUUGGACCCAGGUCCAAUGGCAUAGUUAAACCAAUCCAGCUGAAGCAUCAGAAAGGUACCAUCGGAAUCGAAUAUGAACCUACAUUGGGAGGAGUCCAAAAUGCAAGAUCCAGCAAGACAACAUUUGUACCAUAACAAGCUCCAAUUCUAGAUCACGCAUCUGACUAUGACAUAGUAGAAAGAAUAAGAACUUUGUUCGUGGCCAUGAUUGGAGAAGAGAAAGAUAUAGAUCUCAACAAAUUGACCAUCCGUGAUUCCAAGCCUAGAGAAAGCUUCCAGAAUUGGACCAUCAGUCCGUCCCUGCUUCAAAAAGAGUCCUGAUAGUGUGGAAAGUAGUUUUGUCUUUUUAAGUUUGCAUGAUCAAAGUUGAGGCUUGAAUCAUGCUUGAUCCCUUGUUGUCGCCUGCUCUUUCUAAAAAAGCUAGAACGAUUUUAAAUAAAAGUCUUUAGUUUCUUUAAAAUUGUCUUAUUAUUUUACCUAUGUAUUUAUUUUACUUACCUUUUAUACUUUUCAGCACUCAUAUUAAUAAAAAUCCUAGUUCAAUGACAUGUAACUAAUCCAUCGAGCAAAGUAAAAAUAAUGAACAAGAUUAUGAAGAAUAUGAUGAAAGCAUGAUGCCUGAAAACCUACCAUAGGAGAUCGAGCAACUCGUAAGUCAGAAGAAACCUAUGGAUAAAACAGAGGUUGUCAACUUAGGAGAUGAGGAAAUUGUGAAGGAAACAUGAAUUAGCAUACAUUCGGAGGCUGAAAGAAAAAAGGAGUUAAUAGAAUUACUUAGGCAGCAUGUCAACAUAUUUGCUUGGUCUUACAAUGAUAUGCCGGGGUUAAGCAAUGAUAUCGUCUCACACAAAUUACCUAUUGAUCCGACUUUCCUACAUGUUAAACAAAAGACAAGAAAGUUCAAGCCAGACUUGAGUCUAAGGAUCAAAAAAGAGGUAAUCAAGCAGAUUGGGGCGAUCGUAGUAAGGGUUAUAAAUUACCCCACUUGGUUGGCCAACAUAGUAUCAGUGCCAAAAAAGGAUGGAAAAAUCAGAAUAUAUGUGGACUAUCGAGAUAUCAACAGAGCUAGUCCUAAGGAUGAUUUCCCUCUCCCAAAUAUUUAUAUACUUAUCGAUAGUUGUACAAAAUAUUAGUUGCAAUCAUUUGUCGAUUGUUUUGAGGGAUAUCACUAGAUACUGAUGGAUGAAAAUGAUGUAGAAACAACAAUAUUUAUCACUUCAUGGGGAGUGUAUUGCUAUAGAGUAAUGCCAUUUGGUCUAAAAAAUACUAUGCAACCUACAUGAGGGCCAUGACUGCUCUUUUUCAUUAUAUGAUCCACAAGGAGAUUAAAGUAUAUGUGGACGAUGUCUUUAUCAAAUACAAGAGGAGUUUGGACCAUCUAGAUGAUUUGCGAAAAUUCUUUGAAAGGUUACGAUAGUAUAAUCUAAAAUUGAAUCCAGCAAAGUGUGCAUUUGGAGUAUCUGUGGGAAAACCGUUAAGAUUCAUUAUUAGUAGGAGAGACAUAAAGUUGGAUCCCUCAAAGAUAAAGGCACUUCAAGAAUUACCUCCCCCAAGACCAAGAAAGACGUGAUGAGUUUCUUGGGAAGACUUAACUACAUUAGUUGGUUCAUAUCCACAGUAAUUUUUGAACCCAUAUUUAAAUUACUAAGAAAAGAUGCUGCCGUAAAAUAGACAGAGGAAUGUCAACAGGCUUUUGAUAAAAUCAAAGAAUACUUGUCCAAUCCACUAGUAUUGGUCCUACCUGAGCCUGGGAGGCCGUUGCUACUGUAUUUAUCUAUCAUGGAUAAUGUAUUUGGACGUAUAUUGGGACAACAUGAUGAGAUGGGUAGAAGAGAGAAAUCCAUUUACUAGUUGAGUAAGAAGUUCACACCAUGUGAGGCGAGAUAUACCUUGUUGGAAUGAACAUGUUGUGCUUUGACUUGGAUCGAGGAGAAAUUUAGGCAUUACCUAUCUGCAUACACCACGUACUUGAUCUCAAGAAUGGAUCCACUCAAGUACAUCUUUCAGAAGCCAAUGCCUAUAGGUAAAUUGGCAAAGUGGCAAAUUUUGUUGAGCAAGUUUGACAUUGUGUAUGUGACACAUAAAGCUAUCAAAGGACAAGCCUUGGCUGACCACCUCGUAGGAAAAGAGGUGUUGUUUGUAGGAGAAGACAUAUCAGAGCCAUAUGAUGGUUGGAGGAUGUUUUUUGAUGGAGCAUCAAAUUCAAAAGGAGUCGGAAUAGAAGCAGUCUUAAUUUUAGAAACAGAUCAAUAUUAUCCAAUCUCAGCCAAGAUUAGGUUUGAUUCUACAUAUAACAUGGAAGAGUAUGAGGGUUGUAUUCUUAGUCUUAGAUGGCCAUCGACAUGAACGUCAAAGAGCUUUUGGUCAUAGGCGAUUCUAACUUAUUGGUUCAUCAGGUGUAAGGAGAAUGGGUUGUUAAAAAUGUCAAGAUCCUUCCUUAUUUGCAUUGCAUAAAGGAGUUGAGUAGGAGAUUCACAAGUAUUGAAUUCAAAUAUGUCCCUUGAGCUUAAAAUCAAUUUGCCAAUGCUUUGGCAACAUUAUACUUCGUGAUUUAGCAUCCGAACAAGGAUUACAUCGACCCUAUUGAAGUAGAGUUACAUGAUCAACAUGCAAAUUAUUUUUAUGUUGAUGAGAAAUUAGAUGGAAGACCAUGGUACUACAACAUCAAGAGAUUGAUAGAAAUAUGAGAAUACCCCAAAAAUGCCACAAGCAAGCAAAAACGGAAUUUAAGAAGAAUGGCCAGUCAUUUCUUUCUUAAUGGAGAAAUCCUAUAUAAGAGGACUCCAUAUUUAGGAUUGAUGAGAUAUGUUGACACCAAGGAAGCGACGAGGCUUUUAGAAGAAAUACAUGCAGGAACAUAUGGACCUCACAUGAAUGGGUUCACUCUGGCUAAGAAGAUCUUAAGAGCCGGAUAUUUUUGGAAGACCAUGGAGAGAGAUAACAUUCAAUACGUGCAGAAGUGUCAUCAAUGCCAAAUGCAUAGAGAUUUUAUAUGAUUUCCACCAAAUAAGCUCAAUGUUAUGGGUUCCCCUUGGAAAUUUAACGCUUGGGGAAUGGAUGUAAUUGGACCCAUAGAGCCUCCCGCAUCAAAUGGACAUCGUUUCAUCCUUGUGGCUAUCGAUUAUUUCACAAAAUGGGUCGAAGCUUUGACAUACAAGGCAGUAACUAAGAAGGUAGUGACAGACUUUGUUUGUAAUAAUAUAGUUAAUUUGGGAUUCCAAAAUUAAUCAUAACAGAUAAUGCGGCCAAUCUCAACAACGAUCUUAUAAAGAAAAUUUAUAAGAAAUUUAAGAUUGAUCAUCGAAAUUCCACAACUUAUCGACCACAAAUAAAUUGAGCAAUUGAAGCUACAAACAAGAAUAUCAAGAAGAUUUUAAGGAAGAUAGUGGAUAGUCACAGACAAUGGCACGAGAAGCUACCAUAGGCUCUGCUCGAUUAUCGCACGACAAUCAAAACAUCCACUGGGGAAACUCCUUAUAUGUUGGUUUAUGGUUCAGAAGCAGUAAUACCUGCAGAAGUGGAAAUACCAUCUCUAAGGAUUAUUCAAGAGGUCGGUUUAGAUGAUGUAGAAUGGAUUCACAACAGGAUUGAACAGUUGAUGCUUAUUGAUGAAAAAAGAAUGGCCGUAGUUUGUCAUGGUCAACUCUAUCAGAACAGAAUGGCCAAAUCAUUUAACAACAAAGUCAAACCUUGACAGUUCACAUCGAGAUAAUCUGUAUUGAAAAAGAUAUUUCCUCACCAAGGAGAAGCUAAAGGGAAAUUUACACCAAACUGGCAAGGUCCUUACAUGGUUCAUAGAGUACUCUCUGGAGGAGCAAUUAUCUUAGCCGAAAUGGACGUCACAGUGAGCACGAAGCCAAUCAAUUCAGACGCCAUCAAGAAGUACUACAUCUGAAGACAUCAAGACUAGUUUUAAUUUAUUUUUGUACUUUUACAUUCCAUGUAACAGAACAACAUCUCGACCUGACUUCCCACAGUGGGGUACGUAGGCAACCCACAUCGGUUCUGAUCCUUUCUUAGAAAAUCUGAAAACAUCAUUUUUAUGUAUUCAGAAUUAUGCUCGACUUGACUUCCCUCGGCAGAAUAUGUAGGCAAUCCCUGUCGGAUUUGGUCCCUUCAUAUUUUCAAUUUUCUAUUGUAUUUGAACUAUAUCCUGACCUAAUUGCGGUUGGAUACGUAGGCAGCCUAAGUCAGGCCUGGUCAUUGCAUUAUUUUACUUUCCUAUUGUAUUUGAACUACUCCUGACCUGAUUCCACUUGGAUAUGUUGGCAACCUGAGUUAGGCUUGGUCAUUACAUCACAUAUUUUUUAUUCUUAUAUUUCCCCCUUUGUAAUUUAACUACGUACUGACCUGAUUCCACUUGGAUACGUAGGCAACCUGAUUCAGGCUCGGUCAUUGCAUUGUAUAAUAUUCACUUUUUAUCCUCGAACUAUGCACAGACCUGAUUCCCAUUUGGGGAUACAUAGGCAACCUUAAAGGUUCGAUCAUACCUAUAGAAAACUUUCCUUUAGUUAGGUAUCAUUAAAACAUAAAGGAUCUCGUGAACGAGUCAAGGGAAGCAUCAUCAAAAGACAAGACUAUGAGAGAUAUUAUAUUUGGAUAUAGAGAAGCUUGAUGGACUUCAAAACAUGUCAGAACCUUAUAAUGAUAAAGGAUUACUCUCUCUCUCAUAUAUAUAUAAUAUGCUCCUUUACUAAAAAUACUAUUAUUUUCAAAAUAGUUCUCUACUAUUCCACCUAUCAAGUCUCCAGGUUAAGAAACUGCGUACGGGCCAAGAAGGUGCUGAAGGAUUCUAGUGACAAGGACUGAAUCCACGAGUCGAUAUAAAUCAAAACCCCCCCUUAAACUAAAUUAUUUUUCUUUGAGCUCAGGAAAAUAGGAGAUCAAGGAAGACAACCUCAAGUGUAGGGGCAUGACUGAAGACGUCGUUCGACUUCUCAAAAUCAUAAACCAAAAUAUCCUUUCUUUAUCUUAUUUAUCGGAAGUACUUUAUACUUGGAUUUGUUUUCUAAAAGAUUUCCUUCAAUAUUUGCAGGUACGCUCAAGAUUCGGAUCAAAUACUAAAGACAAAGUGGACCUAUGGGAUAAAUAGGAUAAUUUGCUUUUUGUCAAAGAUAACUUCACAACUCCACCAUCGGAGACCACCGUCUAACUGCAUUGAAUAAACUCCAUCAAAUGGAAGUUGUAUAUAGAAAGAAAUGUCAAACUUCGCCAAUCGGAGGCUAUAUAUAGAAAACAUCGUUCAGGCUCUACCAUGUGGAGGCUGUACAUAGCAAACAUCGUUCAAACUCCACCGUCUGGAGGCUCUAAAUAGCAAAUAUCAUUCAAACUUCGCCGUCUAGAGGCUGUACAUAGAAAACAUUAUUCAAACUCCACCGUCUGGAGGUUGUACAUAGAAAACACUGUUCAAACUCCACCGUCUGGAGGCUGUACAUAGCAAAUGCCAUUCAAACUCCGCCAUUUGGAGGCUGUAUAUAUCAAACCUCAUCAAAGCUCCCCCGAUCAGGAGCAUGCAUACAACAUCAUCAUAUAUCUAUGAUUAAAUUCUACAUUACAAGAUUUGUCUCGCCAGAUGCAGGCGUUACAUUAAAAUUAAACCGUCAGAUACAGGCGUUACAUUAUAAGCUUUAUACUGCUGGAUACAUGCAUUACAUUAUAGUUACACCGCCAGAUACAAGCAUUACUUUAUAGGUUUUUCACUGCCGGAUGUAGGCGUUACAUUACAAUUGCACCACCAGAUACAUGAGUUACAUUUACAAGCUCUACACUAUCGGAUACAUGCGUUACAUUACAAGGUGUACACUGCCGGAUACAGGCAUUAUAUUUACAAGCUUUACACGGCUAGAUACAAGCGUUACAUUAUAUUUGCUCAGCCAGUCAGAGGCAUUAAAUUACAAGCUUUACACCGCCAGAUAUAGGCGUUACAUUAUAAGUUUUACACUAUCAGAUACCGGCGUUACAUUAUAAUUGCCCUGCCAAUCGGAGGUUUUACAUUAUAAGUUACUUUGCCUACAUCGCAUUCAUCCCACAAAAUAGAGACAUCAACAAUCAUUUGAACAUCUACACUUUACU